UCACAGAGAAACUGUAUGGCAUCACUAGAUGAAAAGUGACUAUCAUGCUGGUUAAGGUGAAACUUGGGGAUGCCCAAAAAUUUGUCAAGAUAACUGAGCUGAGCCUGGUGGAAUUUUUGAUUGCUGCAUUUUUAAAGUUUGGUGUUCCAUCUGUACCCAAGAAUGUGAAGGUUUUUGACGAAUCAGGGACUGAGGUGGAUGAUGAUGUUUUUGAGGAUGUAGUCAGAGAUCCCUCAGUUGGAGUUCUUACCAUAAAACAUGG
Long non-coding RNA from Labeo rohita (rohu), 262 nucleotides. RefSeq lists it as uncharacterized. The record is from RefSeq and is a predicted model, not a curated record. The transcript is spliced from 3 exons. NCBI's taxonomy places the organism in Eukaryota, Metazoa, Chordata, Actinopteri, Cypriniformes, Cyprinidae.